ACGGGUGAGGAACACGUAGGGACCUGCCUUGCAGAGGGGGACAACCCGAGGAAACUCGGGCUAAUACCGCAUGAUACUCUGAGGAGGAAAGGCUUGGUAGAGAUACCAGGCGCUGCGAGAGGGGCCUGCGUCCGAUUAGCUAGUUGGUUAGGUAAAGGCUGACCAAGGCGAUGAUCGGUAGCUGGUCUGAGAGGACGACCAGCCACACUGGGACUGAGACACGGCCCAGACUCCUACGGGAGGCAGCAGUGGGGAAUAUUGGACAAUGGGGGCAACCCUGAUCCAGCGAUGCCGCGUGUGUGAAGAAGGCCUUCGGGUUGUAAAGCACUUUGGUUGGGGAGGAAGGGUAGUAGUUUAAGAGAUGACUAUUUUGACUGUACCCAAAGAACAAGCACCGGCUAACUCUGUGCCAGCAGCCGCGGUAAUACAGAGGGUGCGAGCGUUAAUCGGAAUUACUGGGCGUAAAGGGCGCGUAGGCGGCUUGACAAGACGCAUGUAAAAUACCUGGGCUUAACCUGGGGAGGUCAUGCGUGACUGUAGAGCUAGAGUGCAGUAGAGGGCAGUGGAAUUUCCGGUG
Molecule: ribosomal RNA, 577 nt
Filed under: uncultured bacterium
Lineage: Bacteria
Description: bacterial SSU rRNA
Rfam family: Bacterial small subunit ribosomal RNA
Source: RNAcentral